RNAcentral lists this ribosomal RNA (404 nucleotides) under uncultured bacterium. RNAcentral describes it as "bacterial SSU rRNA". It matches the Rfam family "Bacterial small subunit ribosomal RNA", at positions 29 to 439 of the family's 1533-position model. The record is from RNAcentral.
AUUGAACGCUGGCGGCAUGCCUUACACAUGCAAGUCGAACGGUAACGCGGGGCAACCUGGCGACGAGUGGCGAACGGGUGAGUAAUACAUCGGAACGUGCCCAGUAGUGGGGGAUAGCCCGGCGAAAGCCGGAUUAAUACCGCAUACGACCUACGGGUGAAAGCAGGGGAUCGCAAGACCUUGCGCCAUUGGAGCGGCCGAUGUCAGAUUAGGUUGUUGGUGGGGUAAAGGCCUACCAAGCCGACGAUCUGUAGCUGGUCUGAGAGGACGACCAGCCACACUGGGACUGAGACACGGCCCAGACUCCUACGGGAGGCAGCAGUGGGGAAUUUUGGACAAUGGGCGCAAGCCUGAUCCAGCCAUGCCGCGUGCGGGAAGAAGGCCUCGGUUGUAACGACUUUGUC